GACUAAGUCCAAGAAACUUAUUGAUCACCUGUACUCCACUUAUCCACAAGCCCAGCAACUCAGGGCUACAGGUUACAUUUCAUAUUUCUAUAGCUGACUCACAUACCUUUAAUCCUGCAGAAUAACCUUGUGAAGCAGAUGGUUUCAUUCUUGCUCAAUUAAUGAGACAACUGAGGCCCAGAAAUGUCUGAGCCACACACUGUUCAGGCAACUCAAGGGGUGUAGAUGCAGCCUUUCUGCCCUCAGGCCUGUUUUUGUUUUUUGUCUCCUUCACUGGGUGCAGAACUGUGCUUCACAGAGCCUCAGAAUCCCAUCCGUUCAAGCCUCUGAUCUUCCCUUUUCAAUUCACAUCCACCAAGGAACAUUCCUUAUUGUCCCCACUAUGCCAUUUCAAAGGGUGGGACCCAUUAUGAAGUAGGUUAAACAAAGUAAAUCCACUUUGGCUUGAAAGAAAAUUAAUUCAAACGAAACACAAUUAUUUAGGGAAGCCACUACAGAAYUUUAUGUAUAAGGAACCAUAUUAUAUAUAAGUGGUAAUACAGCAAAGACUUAAGUGUCAAUGGCAAGCCAGGCAUCUUGCAGAAGUUACUUGUUCAAGUUACUUGUAGCUUUACAACUCUAGGUUAGAGAGAGGAAUGCAAUUUAUUAGCCAUGUUUCACAUUUUUUUCCAUAAAUCUUUAAAUAUUUAAGCACCAUAAAAUUCAAGCAUUUCACACAAAUGUGGCAGCCAGCCUUGGUGGUUUAAAAUGCAUUAUGCAGAGUUUCUGGCAGAUAAUAACAGUGACAAUUACACAGUACUGAUCUUUAACGUCAAUUGUUUGUUCCCCACAGAACUUACCAGUAAUGUCCCUGCAGGAAAUUAUGAUUGUGUGUGUGUGUUUGGUACAGUAAUUUUGAGGAUAUAAAUAAAAUAGCAUUCCCCAAAACAUUAAGAAUUGACCAGGUAUAAUAAUUCUAAUCAGUAAUUUGUAUGCCUUUUGAGAAUCAUAGCUCUCUAUUGUGUGUUAAAAAAAAACCAAGGAAUAUUUUUCACAUUGAAUAAUUAAAUAAAAGAUGUGGCCAUAAUCAAUGCAUGAUGAUAGCUAUUUGUGAGAGAGAUAAUCUAACUUUAACUUUCAACACAAGAGUAGGUAUUAUGUCCUAUCAUCCUAUUAGAUAAAUGAGGGAAGUGAGGUUGAGGGAGUUGUGGAACUGGCCCAGGUGAACCAGCUGGAUAGAGAUGGAGCUGGAUCAAGAUCUGCGUACAACCGACUCUAAAGUCAUUUUCCCACCAUUCUUGCAGCUGAACCAAGUAAAAGUUACAAUUGUCAAAUUAUUGCAGUGAGCUGAUAAAACACAAAUCUAAUAUAAUUUCCUGGAACACAGAUGGUUUGCUAAUCUACAAUAGGCUCCAAAUAAAAUCUUUGAUAAAAAUCUUAAGUUUCAUGGACCAUUCCACUGGCUAUUUUUCUAAGCACCAUUACAUACACACAAAUUUUGUAGAGGCAUACUUUUGCUAGGAAGCUCUUAAAUCAAGAGGGAAUAGUGGUUACAGUAUGAACUGUCAUGGCACAGUACAAUGAAGGGUCUUCUCUAAGCCAAGUCUUUUAAAUCUCAUCAUUUCUGAAAUUUCAUUUUGUAUUAAAAAUUAUUUUUGAGGGGAAAAGUGAUGACUAAAGCUUAAUUGUCUUUCUGCAGGAGUUGUAAUAGGAGAUUGUGGGUGUGCAGAAUGUUGAACAUUCUGAUAUUUUGAAGUAAGAAAUGGCUUAUUUACCAUUUUACCACUGAGGACCUUAUAUGCAGACCUGAACAUCUAAUGCCUAAUGAGGCUUGUAGAAUUAUCAUUGAAUAAAAGUGUUGGCAAMAGUAUGCUCAGUUCUGCUAGCACUGGACAAAUGAAGUGUGGUCCCUGCCCUCCGGAGGCUUAGAUUUUAGUUAGGGAAUGAAGGACAUGUGCUGAGACCUUAGAGAAGUACUGGGGAAACAGAAAGAGAGGCCAGCCCCACUAAUUGUAUUGGUGGCAGCUGAAGAGAGUCCAAAUCUCCUUGAGGGAAUUCACAUGCAUGCCCCUAAUUUAGUCUUGAAAGAUAUGUAGGCAUCUGCCAAGUCAGUAGACCAGAGGGAAGAUAUGGCUGGUGUAAGAGAAGGAACCAAAGGCACAGAGGUACUGCGAGAGUUUGCAGAACGGUGUGCAAUUCAUGGUGGCAAGAGAUAGUCCCAGGUGUAAGCCAUGGACAGUUCAUGCUGGACCUCUCACCCAUUGUGAAGUCAUUUGGACUUGGGCAAUGCAGUCAUUGAAGGGUUUUAAGCCAAAAGAUAACAAAGCCAAGUUUGGAUGGAACUUAGAUGACAACUGAGAUUUGAAACUGGAGGAACUGGUCGGAAGAUGUCUACUGCAAGAGGGUAGUUGGAGAGUCUCGUUAGGUACAAAGAGGCUGGAGAGGAGGCAGCAAUCCAGAGGAAGAUGACUCGGGUGCAGCCUGAGGAGUUGGAGAGCAGAAGGAACCCGCCACAUGCAGCGUGGAGGACCACCURGUGUCCUUCCCAGAAUAAGGAUCCAGAGGGAAGAAGCAUCCUAGUCCUCCAGCAUGAGCCUCAGAGCACUUCCCACUAGGCAAUCAAGGAUUAGACCAUCAGAUUCCUGGCAAAAUAGAAAACAGACCUUUUCCUAUUUGAAAGUGACACAGCUUCUAAACUUUUAUAAAAAUUACUGAUGCCAAAUGUCAAAUGACUGCCUCGGUACAAUACUCAUAAAAGAAGAGGAUACUUGGACAUACAAAGGGACACUGGGGAUGUAUGUACCUGGAAUGCACAGAGCAAAGGCCAUGUGAGGACAUGGAAGACCACCAUCUGCAAGCCAAGGAGAGAGGCCUCAGCAGAAAGCAAACCCACCAACACCUUGAAGUUGGACUUGCAGCCGCURGGGCUGUGGUAAAAUUCUCUGUUGUUUCAGCUACUCCACCUGUGGCAUUUUGUAAUGGUGGCCCAAGAAAACCUUAAAGCGUACCUUAAAACUAACCUUUAAAUCCAAGGGGGCUCUCUUCAGUGGCUUUGCAUCUUGCCUCCUUCCUCUGCUCUCCCAUAAUGAUGUGAGGAUGACAAAGCUGAGGAUGCCAAUCAAUCUCUGCAGUUCACUGAGAUUCCCCCCCCAUUUAAGAAACCAGUUUUGCCCAUUGACUUGGGCCUCAGCCCAUCAAAUUGAUGAAUUAAGAAAAGACAGAAACCCAAAUCCUGUGCCUUAAAUCACCAUCCCUGUCAAGGAAAGGAUGCAUGGAGGCUUAAGGAGGGUUGAUUUGGUUUUGGCAAGCCAGCAGAAAUCAGAUAUUCCCACAGAGUUUCCUUCUCUGUCCUGUCUCUGAAAGGCCCAUCCCUGAGCCUCUUUUGCCCCAGACCAGGUCCUAAUUGCAAUUACCUGUAGUCCAGUCCAGGCCUCUGACCUUUCCCUGCCACCCCAUCUGAGAAACAUCCUAAUGGCUCAGGUACUGCUGGUUCUGUGAACAGAAGCCCAAAGAAGUUCUCAAACAGUGGUCCUCCCACUUUGCCUCAACAGGGCUGGGGUGGGGCUUAGGAAUCUACAUUUCCAAGUUCCCACUCGAUGCUCUUUCCAGGGACCACAUUUUGAGAAUGACUGUUCCCAAUUAUAAAUUAAAAUUUAAAGCUAAACUCUUUCUGGUAA
This is a long non-coding RNA of Urocitellus parryii (Arctic ground squirrel), 3656 nucleotides long. RefSeq lists it as uncharacterized. Lineage: Eukaryota; Metazoa; Chordata; Mammalia; Rodentia; Sciuridae. The record is from RefSeq and is a predicted model, not a curated record.